GCCGCCCACAGGGCCGUCUCCGCCGCGGAGCUCCCGCCCCUGAACGCUGCGCAGCCCCGCUCGCAGCGCGGAGUCCCGCACGUUAGCGCGUCUGGCCCGGUGCUACCUUGAGGCGCUCUACUUGGGGGAGACGCCGAAGACGGGAGCGCCUCGAGCUCCUCGCGCGGGCUCGCUUACAGAAGCCAGGUGGCGCGUCUUGGUCACCGCGCGGGCCGUCUCACAGCGGUCGCCCCUCGGCCGCGUCCUGCGGGCUGGCCGGGACGCGCUCCCGGGACGCGGCGCCGGGCGCCGCUGGGGGCGCCCCAGGCUCGCUGGGCGGCGCAGAGCGCCUAGGGGCUGAGCGGAUCCAGGGCUAGCGCUGGGACUUCUAGGGGAGGACUGUAAUGAGACGGAGCUGAAGUGCUUUCCUCAGUCAGAUGAGAACUUCUGACAGCGCGGCAGACGCACAGCAAAGUAAACAAGCCGCGCAGCAAGAAUGAAGUGAGAGCCGCCCCGUCGUGUCCGUGGGAUUCUCCAGGCCGGAACACUGGAGUGGAUAUUUCCCUCUCCAGUACUGAAAGCUACCCUUCAAUGAAAUAUGCGUUUCUUCGUCUAUAUGAGGCAGGAAGCAGAUGGGCCCCCCAGGGUAAAGCGACCAAAGGGAAGAGAUUGGACCCUGCACAGACCACAUAUUUCUCGUCCCAAAGUCAGGAGACCCUCCCUGGCUGCAUAUGCACAAAAGAGGCUCCUUUGCUGUUCUACCCAGAUGCCUUUUCGGUGGAAUUCAUCUUGGCUAAGAUGCGUGCACACGCGGGAAGAUCCUGAGAUAUACAGAAUAUGGACUGUGAGCCCAGGCAAGUCAAAAUGAGCAGCCAGAGGAAAUCUGGAAGAAAUGCCCCACAUAAGUGAUUUAAACUGCCACCAGGGCGCAACUCGGGGCCUCUGUCUCUGAGUCUGCCCAUGUGUCUAUCCAUACGUACUGUACUUUUCCUCCUAAUAAAUACUGUACUUGCUUCACC
Molecule: long non-coding RNA, 998 nt
Organism: Bos taurus (domestic cattle)
Lineage: Eukaryota; Metazoa; Chordata; Mammalia; Artiodactyla; Bovidae
Source: Ensembl